CGAACCCUGUUCCAAUUGUCUUCUCUUGUUCUGUUGCUGUUAUUUUCAAUAAUGAUGAAUUUUGAGCAAUUAUAUUUAUGUUUAUUAUCAAUAUUAUCUGUGUAAUACUACUUUACUGAGCAGUAGUAUAUCAAAUACCCCCACUAUUCUGCCAUCAUACAUUUGCGCUCGGACGCUCUGUCUCCAUCCUUUUCACUCAGCUCUUAUUAUGAGAUUGUUACUAUGCCGUGAAAAUACGUGAAACACUUCUCACUCCUCACUUCCCAAAUAUAAAUCGAACCAAAAUCCCAAAUCCACAUCCAACCAAAUUGUUCCAGUUCUCAGUUUGUGAACCCAAAAUCCCAAAAUCGAACCUAAAGCUGUGAUUCUGCAUUUUGCGUUUGAUUUGUUUCAGUUCGUGAACUCAUGAUCAUCAUUUGAUUUGUUUCAGUUCGUGACCAGUGACCACCGUUUCAGUUCUGCCAAG
This 466-nucleotide long non-coding RNA is filed under the name Trifolium pratense (red clover). Its description in RNAcentral is "long non-coding RNA (TPRA_LNC013045)". Lineage: Eukaryota; Viridiplantae; Streptophyta; Magnoliopsida; Fabales; Fabaceae. The record is from RNAcentral.